AUUUAUGACCAUACCACCCUAAACACAUUCAGUCGGCUGUGAUCUUGGAAGGUAAAGCAGGGCUGAACUGCUUAGUACUUUAUGCUUGGAUGGGAGAAAGUCCUAUCUUAAGAA
This 114-nucleotide ribosomal RNA is filed under the name Mesocricetus auratus (golden hamster). The record is from RNAcentral. Lineage: Eukaryota; Metazoa; Chordata; Mammalia; Rodentia; Cricetidae.